Molecule: long non-coding RNA, 274 nt
Organism: Rhea pennata
Lineage: Eukaryota; Metazoa; Chordata; Aves; Rheiformes; Rheidae
Exons: 3
Source: RefSeq, a predicted model, not a curated record
CAUGAGCUGUCUGCAUAUGAAGCAAUGAAAUGUCCUGCACUGACCCUUUCCCUUUAGGAAUUUGAGAGAGCAUGGGGAAGGAAAAGGACAGCAAAGAAGCAGAGCAGCAGAGCUUAGUGAGAGGAGAACCAGGAGCAGAUGUAGUCUUACCCCUCUGGAAGUGUCUGCCUUGGAACUGCUGCUCAUGGUGCCAUCACCAGUCACAGAAACAGCAGCUCUGGACUGGUAGCAGAAUCUGCCACCUAGUACUAUCUCAUCAAGGAUGUAAAAGUCA